This 253-nucleotide ribosomal RNA is filed under the name uncultured bacterium. RNAcentral's name for it is "partial 16S ribosomal RNA". It matches the Rfam family "Bacterial small subunit ribosomal RNA", at positions 524 to 776 of the family's 1533-position model. The record is from RNAcentral.
UACGGGGGGGGCAAGCGUUGUUCGGAAUUACUGGGCGUAAAGGGCUCGUAGGUGGCCAACUAAGUCAUACGUGAAAUCCCUCAGCUUAACUGGGGAACUGCGUCUGAUACUGGAUGGCCUGAGUUUGGGAGAGGGAUGCGGAAUUCCAGGUGUAGCGGUGAAAUGCGCAGAUAUCAGGAGGAACACCGGUGGCGAAGGCGGUUCUCUGGGCAUUACCUGACGCUGAGGAGCGAAAGUGUGGGGAGCGAACAGG